RNAcentral lists this long non-coding RNA (1001 nucleotides) under Numida meleagris (helmeted guineafowl). RNAcentral's name for it is "lncRNA (ENSNMEG00000002852.1)". The record is from RNAcentral. Lineage: Eukaryota; Metazoa; Chordata; Aves; Galliformes; Numididae.
UGUAGUUUAAAAAUGAAGUGAAAUUUGUAGUGGCCUGUAUGUGUUCAGAGUAGUGCUUUCAGCUGGGCCUCAUUAGGCCUCGUCAGGCCACACACCCCAGUUCCUAAGCACAUCCUCCUGGUACCCUCAGCAUAUGUUUUAUUUGAGGCUACAGCAAGCAACAAAGCCAACACUGAACUCAGGCAGGAGUGUGGAAGGGACCUGAGUGUUGCUUUCACUGGGGACCUGAGUCACCGUGGUGGUGGCGGCAGGGACAUCACAUCUGAGCUGUGUUGGGCUGUAUAAACAAUCAUCCUCUUGGCUUACGCUGUAAUUACAUCUCCUUGGACACUCAUUAGUGUGGUGGAUCUGCACUUCAAUAAUAACAAUAACGGUGUGAGAAGAUGUGAUUAAUAAAAGCAAGACCCUUAUGAUGCCAGCAGCUCUUACCCAUUUUUCAUAUGAGAAGAUGUGAGACAUGGGACACAGAAGAUGCAAGUGCAGAUACUUGGUGGUAUGAAUGCUAUGGAACUACGCUGCUCACUCGAUGCUGGGUGCUUUUCCAAAACGAGGAACUGAUUUGCUUCAGAACUCAUCUCCUUUCAGCAGAAACAGAGGAAGACAGUUGCUUUAAGGUCCAUACAUUGCUUGAAGAGAUGGGAGAAUAUGGUUCUGUUGCCCAGGUUUGUCAUGGAUACUGCAGAAGUCAUUCCAUCAGUUUUAUCUUCUUGUUACCCAAUUGUUUGCCUCAUUAUGAGGGCCAUGGCAUGAAUGUUUGAUAUAUUCGUGGUAAUUAGGACACUUACUGUUCUGAAGAGCCAGCAGUUCACAAUAUGGAAAACAUUUACAACACUUGCAUUUUGCAUUGCUUGCUUCAUUCGGUGGCCGUAAAUGGCAAAAGUUGUGGUCCUACUCUAAAUAUAAGAUAAUCAUAACAUUUUUUGCCUUUGUCAUUGAAAUCCCCAAAUGUACAAAUAAUGUCAGCAAUACUUAAGAAAUAUGUUCAAAUAAAUCAGAAAUCA